GAUGAACGCUGGCGGCGUGCCUAACACAUGCAAGUCGAACGGAAAGGGGCAAGAUUGCUUGGGUACUCGAGUGGCGAACGGGUGAGUAAGAAGUGGGUGAUCAGCCCUGCGCUGCGGGAGAAGACUGGGAAAAAGGGGCAAAUAAUGGAGAGGACCACAGCAAGGAUGGAGUGGUGGAAAGUCGGUCGGCGUGGGAUGAGCUCGCGGCAGAUGAGCUUGUUGGGGGGGUAGCGGCCUACCAAACCGAGGACGGGAAGCCGCCCUGGGAGGGUGUACGGCCACCUUGCUCCUGCGAUACGCCCCAGACUCCUACGUGGGGCAGCGGUGGGGAAUCUUACACAACGGGCCCACGCCUGUUGCAGCGACCCCCCGUUUGUGAUGUCCUCCUUCCGGUUGUAAACUCCUUUCGCUAGGGACCUAGCCCCAUUGACGUUACCUGGAGAAGAAGCACCGGCUAACUACGUG
This 465-nucleotide ribosomal RNA is filed under the name uncultured bacterium. RNAcentral's name for it is "partial 16S ribosomal RNA". It matches the Rfam family "Bacterial small subunit ribosomal RNA", at positions 28 to 507 of the family's 1533-position model. The record is from RNAcentral.